RNAcentral lists this small nucleolar RNA (93 nucleotides) under Seriola dumerili (greater amberjack). RNAcentral's name for it is "Small nucleolar RNA SNORD14 (ENSSDUG00000003027.1)". It matches the Rfam family "Small nucleolar RNA SNORD14". From Rfam's summary of the family: U14 small nucleolar RNA (U14 snoRNA) is required for early cleavages of eukaryotic precursor rRNAs. In yeasts, this molecule possess a stem-loop region (known as the Y-domain) which is essential for function. Lineage: Eukaryota; Metazoa; Chordata; Actinopteri; Carangiformes; Carangidae. The record is from RNAcentral.
UCGCUGUGAUGACAUUAUUUCCUGCCAUUCGUAGUUUCCACCAGAGGUCGGCAGACCAAAGAUGGUCCAAUCCUUCCUUGGAUGUCUGAGCGA